AAAAUAUUCCGCUAGAUGACGCUCGCGUACCUUUAACGAGAUACUUGUUUAACGACGAGCGGUAAUGUAAAAAAUUUGUUAACAAAUUUCAAAAUACUACUCUGAAAUUUGGACGGAUGUUUCCUUAGACCAUUAUCAGUCUUUUUGUUAAAAUGUAAAAAGUUCUAAGCUUCAAACUAAUUGUACAUUACUGACACGACAUCCAGAACCAAAUACACAUCGCUGCAAAUGUUGCAUCAAGCUAUAAUCAUGACAUUAAGAUAUCAAUUUACAAACCUGCAAAAAAUAUGUUAAUGGAAUAUACAAAACUUACAUAGAUGUAAUAACCUCCUACAAGCCAAAGUCCAAAAACUAAUUGGAAUAAACAUACAAUGAACCAUAAUA
Long non-coding RNA from Bombus pyrosoma, 384 nucleotides. RefSeq lists it as uncharacterized. The transcript is spliced from 3 exons. NCBI's taxonomy places the organism in Eukaryota, Metazoa, Arthropoda, Insecta, Hymenoptera, Apidae. The record is from RefSeq and is a predicted model, not a curated record.